Molecule: small nuclear RNA, 111 nt
Organism: Cebus imitator (Panamanian white-faced capuchin)
Lineage: Eukaryota; Metazoa; Chordata; Mammalia; Primates; Cebidae
Source: RefSeq, a predicted model, not a curated record
GUUCUCGCUUCGGCAGUGCAUAUAUGAAAACUGGAGCGCUACAGAGAAGAUGAGCAUGGGUGGCCCCUGCACAAGGAUGACACCCAAAUUCGUGAAGCGUUCCAUAUUUAA